GGUGGGUACCCCUGUUGAGGCGGGUAACCUUGGGGAGGAUACCCUUGAGGAGGAUAGCCACCCUGCUGGGGCGGGUACCCUUGCGGAGGAUAGCCGCCCUGCUGCGGCGGGUACCCGUGCUGAGGCGGGUACGAACCUCCUCCGUGUGCAAGGUGGCUAAAAAGCCCCUUGUCUGCUUCGUCGUCGUGAUGCUUGUCUUUCCCACCACCCAUUUUUUAUGUUCAGUUGAAACCCAAAAGAUCAGAGAGGAUAUGAAGAUGAAGAAAUAAAAG
RNAcentral lists this long non-coding RNA (272 nucleotides) under Malus domestica (apple). Its description in RNAcentral is "long non-coding RNA (MDOM_LNC007059)". The record is from RNAcentral. Lineage: Eukaryota; Viridiplantae; Streptophyta; Magnoliopsida; Rosales; Rosaceae.